AGAUGAUAUUCAGUGAUUUUUUAGGAGGUAACAUUCGGAUUAGUAAUUCCGACAGUCUCUUUAAAGCACGGAGCUCAAGCCAGCGUUGUUCCGAGUGAUUCAGUCCAUGAUUUAGCCGGAGGAUCAACGAGUAGUAUAAACACAAAGAUAGAACGAGCUAGGUAGGAAGGAAGUGCGCCGAGCUGUGGAUUGCUCCACAGCGCGAAGGGCAAGCAAUGUUACUCAGAGAGGAAUUUGGCGCGCCCUUCAAUCACUUCAGCAACAUAGUAGGCUAAACAUAUCCGUCCAUACUAGUACCAAUAACAGGGGCAUUCAUCGCCUCAUGUCAUUGAUGCGACCCACUUGGAAGGGGAAAAAAAAGUUAGUGAAAGAGAUGAGCCACUUAUUGCUGCACGCUGCGUAGGGCGUAGACAUAAAAUUGUAGACAUGGCCCUCCAGGGUAACCUGUCUCGCUCCGUACGAGUACCCUUUCAGGCGCUGUGCGCGAAAAAACAUUACUAUAACCCUCCGUUCAUCAUAGGAUAUAAAGAAAAUGCAGGAUAGUAGACAGUCCAUAGAAUACGUAGUCGUUAAAUAACCAGUAUUAGGUGGUGAGGAGGAACUUGAAAUCGAUCGCUCUUGGGAUAGUACUGCUCAUUGCUCCCGCAGUUCAACUGACCCCUCGGGUGACUCAUCUGACCACACUAGUGCAGGUCAGCUGACCUGCCUGUUUGCCAAGAGAAAAAAGACUUUAAAAAGAGUCAGAUGAAAUCCUUACAUAUCUGAACUCUUACACUUCUUUAUCUUAUAUAAAAUAUUAUCAAAAUAAAUGAUGAUAAUCUGGUUAUAGAUCUUGAUAUUUUGAAUCAUUUUAAAUUUAAUUAAGAUAACUUAUAUAAAACUCACAGACAAAAUAUAAAUGAUAUAGUAUAUUAUUAUUAGUUUUUUACUAUUACUUUAUAAGUAACUGACUAGUUAGUAAUUGAUUAUCAAUCAUUAAUUUAUAUCUAGUACUCAAUUAAUUUUAUUACAGUAUAUUAUUAUAAUAGAAGAUCUGAGUAUCUUAUUAUUUAGUUAAACAGAUAGUUAUAUCUAAGCAUC
Molecule: small RNA, 1080 nt
Filed under: Histoplasma capsulatum var. duboisii H88
Lineage: Eukaryota; Fungi; Ascomycota; Eurotiomycetes; Onygenales; Ajellomycetaceae
Description: Histoplasma capsulatum H88 hypothetical RNA
Source: RNAcentral